RNAcentral lists this ribosomal RNA (23 nucleotides) under Pleosporales sp. s032. RNAcentral describes it as "partial 28S ribosomal RNA". Lineage: Eukaryota; Fungi; Ascomycota; Dothideomycetes; Pleosporales. The record is from RNAcentral.
UUGACCUCGGAUCAGGUAGAGCC